This 505-nucleotide ribosomal RNA is filed under the name uncultured Propionibacteriales bacterium. RNAcentral's name for it is "bacterial SSU rRNA". It matches the Rfam family "Bacterial small subunit ribosomal RNA", at positions 1 to 523 of the family's 1533-position model. The record is from RNAcentral. Lineage: Bacteria; Bacillati; Actinomycetota; Actinomycetes; Propionibacteriales.
UAGUGAGUUUGAUCCUGGCUCAGGACGAACGCUGGCGGCGUGCUUAACACAUGCAAGUCGAGCGGAAAGGCCACUUCGGUGGUACUCGAGCGGCGAACGGGUGAGUAACACGUGAGUAAUCUGCCCCUGGCUUUGGGAUAGCCACCGGAAACGGUGAUUAAUACCGGAUAUGACAUUCCCUCACAUGGGGGGUAUGGAAAGUUUUUCGGCCAGGGAUGUGCUCGCGGCCUAUCAGCUUGAUGGUGAGGUAAUGGCUCACCAUGGCGACGACGGGUAGCCGGCCUGAGAGGGUGACCGGCCACACUGGGGACUGAGACACGGCCCAGACUCCUACGGGAGCAGCAGUGGGGAAUAUUGCACAAUGGGGCGCAAGCCUGAUGCAGCGACGCCGCGUGAGGGAUGACGGCCUUCGGGUUGUUAAACCUCGUUUUUUACAGGGUAGGAAUCGAAAUGACGUGUACCUGAAGAUAAGCAUCGGCUAACUCCGUGCCAGCAGCCGCGGUAA